CAGAGUCUUGCUGUGUUGCCCAGGCUGGUCUUGAACUCCUGGCCUCAAGUGAUCCUCGUGUCUCAGCCAUCUGAGUAGCUGGGAUUAUAGGCGUGCCACCAUGCCCAGCUCGUGAUUUAUUUCUUGAGCAUUUGAAGGUGCCCCGUAGCUGGGAGAGGGAAGGCUCGCUGCAGAUGGCACCCCCCUUUUGGUUAGUCUUGGCAGGGCCUCCCUGAGCUAACAGGAGCCCCUCUCUUCAGUGCAGGUCGUAAUCUGAAGGAGUGGCUGAGGGAGCAAUUUUGUGAUCAUCCGCUGGAGCACUGUGAGGACACGAGGCUCCAUGAUGCAGCCUACGUCGGGGACCUCCAGACCCUCAGGAGCCUACUGCAAGAGGAGAGCUACCGGAGCCGCAUCAACGAGAAGUCUGUCUGGUGCUGUGGCUGGCUCCCCUGCACACCGUUGCGAAUUGCGGCCACUGCAGGCCAUGGGAACUGUGUGGACUUCCUCAUCCGGAAGGGGGCCGAGGUGGAUCUGGUGGAUGUGAAAGGACAGACGGCCCUGUAUGUGGCUGUGGUGAACGGGCAUCUAGAGAGUACCCAGAUUCUUCUCGAAGCUGGCGCAGACCCCAAUGGAAGCCGGCACCAUCGCAGCACCCCCGUCUACCAUGCCUCUCGCGUGGGCCGGGCCGACAUCCUGAAGGCCCUCAUCAGGUAUGGGGCUGAUGUUGACGUGAACCACCACCUGACUCCUGAUGUCCAGCCCCGAUUCUCCCGGCGGCUCACCUCCUUGGUGGUCUGCCCCUUGUACAUCAGUGCAGCCUACCACAACCUCCAGUGCUUCCGG
This 822-nucleotide small RNA is filed under the name Pongo abelii (Sumatran orangutan). RNAcentral describes it as "retained intron". Lineage: Eukaryota; Metazoa; Chordata; Mammalia; Primates; Hominidae. The record is from RNAcentral.